Molecule: ribosomal RNA, 483 nt
Filed under: uncultured bacterium
Lineage: Bacteria
Description: partial 16S ribosomal RNA
Rfam family: Bacterial small subunit ribosomal RNA
Source: RNAcentral
GACGAGCGCUGGCGGCGUGCUUAACACAUGCAAGUCGAACGCUGAAGCUCAGCUUUUGUUGGGUGGAUGAGUGGCGAACGGGUGAGUAACACGUGAGUAACCUGCCUCCUUCUUUGGGAUAACGCCCGGAAACGGGUGCUAAUACUGGAUAUUCACUGGUCUUCGCAUGGGGGUUGGUGGAAAGGGUUUUUCUGGUGGGGGAUGGGCUCGCGGCCUAUCAGCUUGUUGGUGGGGUGAUGGCCUACCAAGGCUUUGACGGGUGGCCGGCCUGAGAGGGUGACCGGUCACAUUGGGACUGAGAUACGGCCCAGACUCCUACGGGAGGCAGCAGUGGGGAAUAUUGCACAAUGGGCGCAAGCCUGAUGCAGCGACGCCGCGUGAGGGAUGGAGGCCUUCGGGUUGUGAACCUCUUUCGCUCAUGGUCAAGCCGCAACAAUGGUUGUGGUGAGGGUAGUGGGUAAAGAAGCGCCGGCUAACUACGUG